This 253-nucleotide ribosomal RNA is filed under the name uncultured bacterium. RNAcentral's name for it is "partial 16S ribosomal RNA". It matches the Rfam family "Bacterial small subunit ribosomal RNA", at positions 524 to 776 of the family's 1533-position model. The record is from RNAcentral.
UACAGAGGGUGCAAGCGUUGUUCGGAAUUAUUGGGCGUAAAGCGCGUGUAGGCGGCAUAGCAAGUCGGGUGUGAAAGCCCUCAGCUCAACUGAGGAAGUGCGCCCGAAACUGCUGUGCUUGAGUGCCGGAGAGGAUGGCGGAAUUCCCCAAGCAGAGGUGAAAUUCGUAGAUAUGGGGAGGAACACCGGUGGCGAAGGCGGCCAUCUGGACGGUAACUGACGCUGAGACGCGAAAGCGUGGGUAGCAAACAGG